AAAAGGUCACAAUUUAGGUGAGACAGUAAGUUACUUUAAGAUCCCCAAAGUUAGAGAGCAGAGCAGAGGAAGGAUAUGUACACACUGACUUUCAAAUACUAAACAUUUUUUUUUGUCUAAUUUUAUAUUUUUUUUUUUUACUUUUACUUUUAUUAUUUUUCAAAUUUAUUUUAUAUAAUAUAUUUUUUUUUAAUUUUAUAAUUUAAUUUUUUUUUUUUUUUUUUUUUAAA
Non-coding RNA from Biomphalaria pfeifferi, 230 nucleotides. The record is from the annotation of a GenBank genome assembly. NCBI's taxonomy places the organism in Eukaryota, Metazoa, Mollusca, Gastropoda, Planorbidae.